AGCUACAGGCUUAACACAUGCAAGUCGAGGGGCAGCAUUUUAGUUUGCUUGCAAACUAAAGAUGGCGACCGGCGCACGGGUGAGUAACACGUAUCCAACCUGCCGAUAACUCGGGGAUAGCCUUUCGAAAGAAAGAUUAAUAUCCGAUAGUAUAUUAAAACCGCAUGGUUUUACUAUUAAAGAAUUUCGGUUAUCGAUGGGGAUGCGUUCCAUUAGUUUGUUGGCGGGGUAACGGCCCACCAAGACAACGAUGGAUAGGGGUUCUGAGAGGAAGGUCCCCCACAUUGGAACUGAGACACGGUCCAAACUCCUACGGGAGGCAGCAGUGAGGAAUAUUGGUCAAUGGACGAGAGUCUGAACCAGCCAAGUAGCGUGAAGGAUGACUGCCCUAUGGGUUGUAAACUUCUUUUAUAUGGGAAUAAAGUAUUCCACGUGUGGGAUUUUGUAUGUACCAUAUGAAUAAGGAUCGGCUAACUCCGUGCCAGCAGCCGCGGUAAUACGGAGGAUCCGAGCGUUAUCCGGAUUUAUUGGGUUUAAAGGGAGCGUAGGUGGAUUGUUAAGUCAGUUGUGAAAGUUUGCGGCUCAACCGUAAAAUUGCAGUUGAAACUGGCAGUCUUGAGUACAGUAGAGGUGGGCGGAAUUCGUGGUGUAGCGGUGAAAUGCUUAGAUAUCACGAAGAACUCCGAUUGCGAAGGCAGCUCACUAGACUGCAACUGACACUGAUGCUCGAAAGUGUGGGUAUCAAACAGGAUUAGAUACCCUGGUAGUCCACACAGUAAACGAUGAAUACUCGCUGUUUGCGAUAUACAGUAAGCGGCCAAGCGAAAGCAUUAAGUAUUCCACCUGGGGAGUACGCCGGCAACGGUGAAACUCAAAGGAAUUGACGGGGGCCCGCACAAGCGGAGGAACAUGUGGUUUAAUUCGAUGAUACGCGAGGAACCUUACCCGGGCUUAAAUUGCAUUUGAAUAAUCUGGAAACAGGUUAGCCGCAAGGCAAAUGUGAAGGUGCUGCAUGGUUGUCGUCAGCUCGUGCCGUGAGGUGUCGGCUUAAGUGCCAUAACGAGCGCAACCCUUAUCUUUAGUUACUAACAGGUCAUGCUGAGGACUCUAGAGAGACUGCCGUCGUAAGAUGUGAGGAAGGUGGGGAUGACGUCAAAUCAGCACGGUCCUUACGUCCGGGGCUACACACGUGUUACAAUGGGGGGUACAGAAGGCAGCUACCUGGCGACAGGAUGCUAAUCCCAAAAACCUCUCUCAGUUCGGAUCGAAGUCUGCAACCCGACUUCGUGAAGCUGGAUUCGCUAGUAAUCGCGCAUCAGCCAUGGCGCGGUGAAUACGUUCCCGGGCCUUGUACACACCGCCCGUCAAGCCAUGAAAGCCGGGGGUACCUGAAGUACGUAACCGCAAGGAGCGUCCUAGGGUAAAACUGGUAAUUG
This 1436-nucleotide ribosomal RNA is filed under the name uncultured organism. RNAcentral's name for it is "SSU rRNA". It matches the Rfam family "Bacterial small subunit ribosomal RNA". The record is from RNAcentral.